GAUGAACGCUGGCGGCGUGCCUAACACAUGCAAGUCGAGCGAUUUACUUCGGUAAAGAGCGGCGGACGGGUGAGUAACGCGUGGGUAACCUGCCCUGUACACACGGAUAACAUACCGAAAGGUAUGCUAAUACGAGAUAAUAUACUUUUAUCGCAUGGUAGAAGUAUCAAAGCUUUUGCGGUACAGGAUGGACCCGCGUCUGAUUAGCUAGUUGGUAAGGUAACGGCUUACCAAGGCGACGAUCAGUAGCCGACCUGAGAGGGUGAUCGGCCACAUUGGAACUGAGACACGGUCCAAACUCCUACGGGAGGCAGCAGUGGGGAAUAUUGCACAAAUGGGCGAAAGCCUGAUGCAGCAACGCCGCGUGAGCGAUGAAGGCCUUCGGGUCGUAAAGACUCUGUCCUCAAGGAAGAUAAUGACGGUACUUGAGGAGGAAGCCCCGGCGUAACUACGUGCCAGCAGCCGCGGUAA
RNAcentral lists this ribosomal RNA (471 nucleotides) under uncultured bacterium. Its description in RNAcentral is "bacterial SSU rRNA". It matches the Rfam family "Bacterial small subunit ribosomal RNA", at positions 28 to 523 of the family's 1533-position model. The record is from RNAcentral.